RNAcentral lists this unclassified non-coding RNA (254 nucleotides) under Hevea brasiliensis (rubber tree). The record is from RNAcentral. Lineage: Eukaryota; Viridiplantae; Streptophyta; Magnoliopsida; Malpighiales; Euphorbiaceae.
GAACGUUGUAAAUAACAUCACCCGUCUCUCUUCCAAAGAGCAGAACAGAGAGAGCUUUAACAAUGUCUCACUCUCUGGUAGUUUUCAAAUCGCCACCAUCAAUUUCCAAUGUUCGCUAUUCCACUUUUUCUUCACCAUCUUCUUUACGACGUCGUUUAAAUCUGAGACAAAAUCAUGGCCACCACCUUUCUUUUCCCUUCCGUUUUACUACUUCUCAUAGAUACCCAAUUCGCUGUUGUUCUUCUUCCUCCUCC